RNAcentral lists this ribosomal RNA (495 nucleotides) under uncultured bacterium. RNAcentral's name for it is "partial 16S ribosomal RNA". It matches the Rfam family "Bacterial small subunit ribosomal RNA", at positions 28 to 507 of the family's 1533-position model. The record is from RNAcentral.
GACGAACGCUGGCGGCGUGCCUAAUACAUGCAAGUAGAACGCUGAAGGAGGAGCUUGCUUCUCUGGAUGAGUUGCGAACGGGUGAGUAACGCGUAGGUAACCUGCCUGGUAGCGGGGGAUAACUAUUGGAAACGAUAGCUAAUACCGCAUAAUAGUAGAUGUCGCAUGACAUUUGCUUAAAAGGUGCAAUUGCAUCACUACCAGAUGGACCUGCGUUGUAUUAGCUAGUUGGUGAGGUAACGGCUCACCAAGGCAACGAUACAUAGCCGACCUGAGAGGGUGAUCGGCCACACUGGGACUGAGACACGGCCCAGACUCCUACGGGAGGCAGCAGUAGGGAAUCUUCGGCAAUGGACGGAAGUCUGACCGAGCAACGCCGCGUGAGUGAAGAAGGUUUUCGGAUCGUAAAGCUCUGUUGUAAGAGAAGAACGAGUGUGAGAGUGGAAAGUUCACACUGUGACGGUAGCUGACCAGAAAGGGACGGCUAACUACGUG